RNAcentral lists this ribosomal RNA (380 nucleotides) under uncultured eukaryote. RNAcentral describes it as "partial 18S ribosomal RNA". It matches the Rfam family "Eukaryotic small subunit ribosomal RNA", at positions 592 to 976 of the family's 1831-position model. The record is from RNAcentral.
CAAUAGCGUAUAUUAAAGUUGUUGCGGUUAAAAAGCUCGUAGUUGGAUUUCUGCUUUGGACGACCGGUCCGCCCUGUGGGUUGGCAUCUGGAUCGGCCUGGGCAUCUUCUUGGGGAACGUAGCUGCACUUGACUGUGUGGUGCGGUAUCCAGGACUUUUACCUUGAGGAAAUUAGAGUGUUUCAAGCAGGCGCACGCCUUGAAUACAUUAGCAUGGAAUAAUAAGAUAGGACCUCGGUUCUAUUUUGUUGGUUUCUAGAGCUGAGGUAAUGAUUAAUAGGGAUAGUUGGGGGCAUUCGUAUUUAACUGUCAGAGGUGAAAUUCUUGGAUUUGUUGAAGACGGACUACUGCGAAAGCAUUUGCCAAGGAUGUUUUCAUUGA